UGCAAGUCGAACGAUGAUCCCAGCUUGCUGGGGGAUUAGUGGCGAACGGGUGAGUAACACGUGAGUAACCUGCCCUUGACUCUGGGAUAAGCCUGGGAAACUGGGUCUAAUACCGGAUACGACCAUCUGGCGCAUGUCAUGGUGGUGGAAAGCUUUUGUGGUUUUGGAUGGACUCGCGGCCUAUCAGCUUGUUGGUGGGGUAAUGGCCUACCAAGGCGACGACGGGUAGCCGGCCUGAGAGGGUGACCGGCCACACUGGGACUGAGACACGGCCCAGACUCCUACGGGAGGCAGCAGUGGGGAAUAUUGCACAAUGGGCGCAAGCCUGAUGCAGCGACGCCGCGUGAGGGAUGACGGCCUUCGGGUUGUAAACCUCUUUCAGUAGGGAAGAAGCGAAAGUGACGGUACCUGCAGAAGAAGCGCCGGCUAACUACGUGCCAGCAGCCGCGGUAAUACGUAGGGCGCAAGCGUUAUCCGGAAUUAUUGGGCGUAAAGAGCUCGUAGGCGGUUUGUCGCGUCUGCUGUGAAAGACCGGGGCUCAACUCCGGUUCUGCAGUGGGUACGGGCAGACUAGAGUGCAGUAGGGGAGACUGGAAUUCCUGGUGUAGCGGUGAAAUGCGCAGAUAUCAGGAGGAACACCGAUGGCGAAGGCAGGUCUCUGGGCUGUAACUGACGCUGAGRMGCGAAA
This 688-nucleotide ribosomal RNA is filed under the name Arthrobacter sp. UAPS0164. RNAcentral's name for it is "bacterial SSU rRNA". It matches the Rfam family "Bacterial small subunit ribosomal RNA", at positions 56 to 758 of the family's 1533-position model. Lineage: Bacteria; Bacillati; Actinomycetota; Actinomycetes; Micrococcales; Micrococcaceae. The record is from RNAcentral.